Molecule: ribosomal RNA, 197 nt
Filed under: uncultured bacterium
Lineage: Bacteria
Description: partial 16S ribosomal RNA
Rfam family: Bacterial small subunit ribosomal RNA
Source: RNAcentral
UCUGCAACUCGAGUGCAUGAAGCUGGAAUCGCUAGUAAUCGCGGNUCAGAAUGCCGCGGUGAAUACGUUCCCGGGUCUUGUACACACCGCCCGUCACACCAUGGGAGCCGGUAACGCCCGAAGUCAGUGGCCCAACCGAGAGGGGGGAGCUGCCGAAGGCGGGACUGGUAACUGGGGUGAAGUCGUAACAAGGUAAC